GAGAGGAUGAUCAGCCACACUGGAACUGAGACACGGUCCAGACUCCUACGGGAGGCAGCAGUGGGGAAUAUUGCACAAUGGGCGCAAGCCUGAUGCAGCCAUGCCGCGUGUAUGAAGAAGGCCUUCGGGUUGUAAAGUACUUUCAGUCGUGAGGAAGGCGGCGUCGUUAAUAGCGGCGUUGUUUGACGUUAGCGACAGAAGAAGCACCGGCUAACUCCGUGCCAGCAGCCGCGGUAAUACGGAGGGUGCGAGCGUUAAUCGGAAUUACUGGGCGUAAAGCGCAUGCAGGUGG
Molecule: ribosomal RNA, 292 nt
Filed under: Vibrio diabolicus
Lineage: Bacteria; Pseudomonadati; Pseudomonadota; Gammaproteobacteria; Vibrionales; Vibrionaceae
Description: partial 16S ribosomal RNA
Rfam family: Bacterial small subunit ribosomal RNA
Source: RNAcentral